CCUCGCGAGAGCAAGCGGACCUCAUAAAGUGCGUCGUAGUCCGGAUUGGAGUCUGCAACUCGACUCCAUGAAGUCGGAAUCGCUAGUAAUCGUGGAUCAGAAUGCCACGGUGAAUACGUUCCCGGGCCUUGUACACACCGCCCGUCACACCAUGGGAGUGGGUUGCAAAAGAAGUAGGUAGCUUAACCUUCGGGAGGGCGCUUACCACUUUGUGAUUCAUGACUGGGGUGAAGUCGUAACAAGGUAACCGUAGGGGAACCUGCGGUUGGAUCACCUCCUUA
RNAcentral lists this ribosomal RNA (281 nucleotides) under Escherichia coli. RNAcentral describes it as "partial 16S ribosomal RNA". It matches the Rfam family "Bacterial small subunit ribosomal RNA", at positions 1253 to 1533 of the family's 1533-position model. Lineage: Bacteria; Pseudomonadati; Pseudomonadota; Gammaproteobacteria; Enterobacterales; Enterobacteriaceae. The record is from RNAcentral. RNAcentral also lists the same sequence under 1 other name.